CCUGAAGCUUCAGCCGUUUUUACCAAGACCUGGAAAAAACCAACGACCCCUGCUCUGUUCAACCACCCUUCAGCCGCUUAUCAUCUGAACCCUUAUCCAAAGGAACCCUGCUUCUUUUCCACCCCUAGACGACCACACACACAGAGAUAGAGGAUGAUACAGUAAGAAACGAACGGAGAGGACAGCUGAAAAACCACCCCUGGUUCUUCAAAAACCAUCCGCCUCUCCCUCCGAUGUCUACCACCAGAACCGCCAGAAAAUCUGCUCCAAUUGUCCCCUCUUUCAUCUCUAGUGAAGCAGGAAACUGAGGUUCGCGAAAAAGCAGCCAAUACCCCCAUUAACACCGCACACAAACACCAUGAACACCAUAUAAAAUCGAUUUUCUACUGUCAAAUCCCUCUUUGUCGAUGAACUCAAUUUUUCCGGCGAAAAUUCCGGAGGCAUCAGUCAUCUAUUUCAGUCAUUGUUGAAGAUCCGAGGUUGAUUGAUUGGGGUGUUGUUUGAAGUUGUUUUGUUCAAGUUCCGUCCGUCUCCAAUUUCAGCGUUAGUAGUUGGUUUACGUUGCUUGUGUAAUUGCUGAAAAUUUCAGUUAAUUGAAGCUUUAAUUUCAGUUUUCUUAUACAGGUGUGGAUCUACUUACCGGAGUUUGAGCAUGACAGACACCCCCGGACCAUCUGGUCAGGACCGUUGCAUCCAGGAGUUGCUUAAGGAGAUUUUUUGUGUUUUGAGUCUGUUUCUUUUUAUGUUGUCUUGUACUUUAUAGUCAUGUCCAGUAGUAAUGAUUCUUUUAGUUGGUGGCGGAGUUUGUCAUAGUAUAGUUUAAUUGAGUCUCUCAUUAUCAUAUUUCCUGUUUUGUAUUUGAAAACCAAAAAAAGCUGUAAAUGAAUAAUCCAAAAAGUUUUUUUUA
Nicotiana tabacum (common tobacco) is the source of this 907-nucleotide long non-coding RNA. RefSeq lists it as uncharacterized. The record is from RefSeq and is a predicted model, not a curated record. NCBI's taxonomy places the organism in Eukaryota, Viridiplantae, Streptophyta, Magnoliopsida, Solanales, Solanaceae.